Gasterosteus aculeatus aculeatus (three-spined stickleback) is the source of this 927-nucleotide long non-coding RNA. The record is from Ensembl. NCBI's taxonomy places the organism in Eukaryota, Metazoa, Chordata, Actinopteri, Perciformes, Gasterosteidae.
CACAGAGACCCCGCAGCGUGUGAGCGAGUACCCACGACAACGGCGCACCUAUUGGAUUGGGUGGGGUGGGGGGGUGUAGAUAGAGGGAGGGAGGGUGAGAGGGUGAGGAAGGGAAUGGUGGUGAGGAAGAGAGAGAGGGAGAGGGGAGGAGAAUUAGACAGACUGACUGACUGACUGAGUGAUUAACAGUGAGAAGAGGUCAGGGUGGAGGGGGGAGGGGGGGCCAGUGUCUUUAUCAUAUUGGUCUGUUGACAGAAAGCAUAGCUGCGUCAUGUGACUCCACUAAUCAGGUCAUAGGAGCAGCUUUGAGCCACAGACAGAGAUCCUGCAGCGUGUGAGCGAGUAACCACGACAACGGCGCACCUAUUGGAUUGGGUGGGGUGGGGGGGUGUAGAUAGAGGGAGGGAGGGUGAGAGGGUGAGGAAUGGAGGGGUGGUGAGGAAGAGAUAGAGAGGGAGAGGGGAGGAGAAUUAGACAGACUGACUGACUGAGAGUGAUUAACAGUGAGAAGAGGUCAGGGUGGAGGGGGGAGGGGGGGCGAGUGUCUUUAUCAUAUUGGUCUGUUGACAGAAAGCAUAGCUGCGUCAUGUGACUCCACUAAUCAGGUCAUAGGAGCGAGCAGCUGUGAGUCACAGACAGAUCCUGCAGCAUGUGAGCGAGUAACCACGACAACGGCGCACCUGUGCUCAUUAACGAUCUGCUGCAAAAGACAGAGACAUGGCAGCAAGUUACACAGAAUCCACACCUCACACAAAUGAGAACCAGCGCAAAACUAUAACAGCUAUCUAAAAAAUACGGCGUUUGUAUGAGACCCAAGACUCUACCGAACGCGUGGAUGUGCUUUUUAUGUCUGUCCGGUAAUAAAUACGGCUCCUAUGGCCGUUGACAGAACGUGUACCUUGUGGAUUUUUGUGAGAAAUAUGUCGG